This 500-nucleotide ribosomal RNA is filed under the name uncultured bacterium. RNAcentral's name for it is "partial 16S ribosomal RNA". It matches the Rfam family "Bacterial small subunit ribosomal RNA", at positions 28 to 507 of the family's 1533-position model. The record is from RNAcentral.
GACGAACGCUGGCGGCGUGCUUAACACAUGCAAGUCGAACGGGUCUGCCCUGUUUUUUGCGGGGUGGGUCAGUGGCGAACGGGUGAGUAACACGUGAGUAACCUGCCCCUCACUUCUGGAUAACCGCUUGAAAGGGUGGCUAAUACGGGGUGUUCUGGCUGUGCCGCAUGGUGUGGCUGGGAAAGAUUCACUUUUGUGGUGUUUUGGUGGGGGAUGGGCUCGCGGCCUAUCAGCUUGUUGGUGGGGUGAUGGCCUGCCAAGGCUUUGACGGGUAGCCGGCCUGAGAGGGUGGGCGGUCACACUGGGACUGAGCUACGGCCCGGACUCCUGCGGGAGGCAGCAGUGGGGGGUAUUGCACAAUGGGCGGAAGCCUGAUGCAGCGACGUCGCGUGAGGGAUGGAGGCCUUCGGGUUGUGAACCUCUUUCGCCGGUGAAGAAGGUCCUGCUCUUUGUGGUGGGGUUGACGGUAGCCGGGUUAUGAAGCGCCGGCUAACUACGUG